AUUAGGAAAAGGAAAUCCUAAGCAUACAAAGAAAAGAAAAUCGUAUAAGUAGAAAGAAAAUGCCUAUUUGGUUAUGGCAUUCCCAAAUCGGUUCAUAACAGCAAAGCACGGGAGAGAAUACUAGUGGAAACUAAAAGAAUAGCAAGAAAAAUUCAUUACUUGAACGACAAAGAAAUACAAGACCGGUUUGGUUUAAGAGACACACAAACGACACCGUAUAAGUAGUAGACAUCGUUAAAUAUUAAAGGCCGGUUUGGUUUAAAGUGGAAAAAUAUAACCGUUAGAAAAUGCAGGCUGAGCGGUUCAAAUUCGAAACAAUCGAACCAAGUUUUAAAAUAUAACCGUUAGAAAACGUGUCUUCAGUAAACGCCUCCGUUAAUCAAGUAUAGACGCGUUAAGAAUAAUCGUGUGCGUGUCAAUUUAUUUCCACAGUUCCUCUUUCUGGGAAGGAUUCUCUCGAUCGAUUCUUCCAAAAUUUGCAAAACUGGAAAAAAAAUCCGAUUGCAAUCUUAGAUUAAUUUUGUUUUGAAGGUUGAUUCCGCCUAAAACCCGAUGUGAUUGUUUGGGCUCCUCUCACUCGUCAUCGUUGAGAUGAUAUAUUAUCGCUUGGAGGAGGAAACCCACCGGCCUUUUAGUUGCUGCUUUACAUACCUCGAAGCUUACUCCGCAUGAAACCAUCGUCACCAAGGUAUGUGCUUCAGAAGGUGUUCAAAACCAAAUUGUUCAAGAUUUUGAGGAGAUUUCAAGUGUAGCGGACUUUUGUGACAGGUAUGUGCUUUUCAAACUUGCUUGUAAUUAGUUUCUGAAAUUCAAACAUAUGUGAAAUCAAGAUUAAUUUCAUUUCCACUAGACACGUGCUUGAAUAAGCAUCCAAAAUUUUAACAUAUUUAUGUGUUAGCCUUUAUACUUAUGUGAGAGCUUGAAGUAUAUAUGCCAAUAUUGAUUUUCUCAGGUAUGUGCUUCUCUUAUGGAUGCCCAAAAAAGAUUUUUCUAACGUUUACAGUUCUUUGGUGAAGUAUGGAUUUAUCACCCUCUUUAUAUUGUAUAACUUUGGAUUUGAAUCAAUGUUUCAGAGUAACCACAUCUCUGUUUCGUGAAGAAAACACUGGUCACUUGAAAUUCUGCAGGUCUAUUUUCUUCUGCAUCAACCGAUUUCAAAUCCUAAUGUGGUGUAUCUCAAACCUCCAUACAUGGGUUCUGCACAAUCACUUAAAAAUACAAAACAUACAUACAUAGAUCUGAACAGAGAGAGAAACAAAAGAAUAUGAAGCAAUGGAGGAGAAGAAGAGAUAAAUACAGUUUAAAAUCGUGGUGGUAAAUCGUGAUAUACCACCACUGAACGUGAUGGUGAUAAUGGGAGAGAAUUUAGGAACAUAAGUAUUUGAAAUUUCCUAAUAAAAUCGAAAGAAUAUAAAUUUAUGUUGAUAUUAAUUAUUUUUUUGUUAAAGUAUGAUAUGCUUCAGAAUUUGAUUGGCUAGGUUGGUUAUUUGAAAUU
Molecule: long non-coding RNA, 1495 nt
Organism: Brassica napus (rape)
Lineage: Eukaryota; Viridiplantae; Streptophyta; Magnoliopsida; Brassicales; Brassicaceae
Exons: 6
Source: RefSeq, a predicted model, not a curated record